GUCCUGAUAGUAUAAAUAUUACUUUGGUCUUGUAAACCAAAAAUGAGGAGCUAUCCUCUCAAGACAU
Molecule: transfer RNA, 67 nt
Filed under: Arvicanthis rufinus
Lineage: Eukaryota; Metazoa; Chordata; Mammalia; Rodentia; Muridae
Description: tRNA-Thr
Source: RNAcentral